AGCGGGAAAACUCACCAGGUCAGGACACGGUAAGGAUUGACGGACUGAAGGCUCUUUUCUCGAUUCCGUGGAAAGUGGUGCAUGGCCGUUUUUGGUUGGUGGAUCGAUCCGUCUGGUUAAUUCCGUUAACGAACGAGACCUCGGCACUCCGAAUAGCGCGGCGGACGUCGCGGCCUCCGGGCCGUCUUCCGCACGAGCUUCUUAGAGGGACCGUCCCCCGCCGGGGGAAGGAGGUGCGAGGCAACGACAGGUCUGUGAUGCCCUUAGAUGUUCUGGGCCGCACGCGCAUUACACUGACGCGUCCAACGGGUGACUCCCGACCCGAAGGGGACCGGGGAAUCCGCAAGGCGCGUCGUGAUGGGGAUUGAACGUUGCAAUUGUUGUUCACGAACGAGGAAUUCCUAGUAGGCGCGGGUCAAUCAACCCGCGCCGAUUACGUCCCUGCCCUUU
RNAcentral lists this ribosomal RNA (450 nucleotides) under uncultured eukaryote. RNAcentral describes it as "bacterial SSU rRNA". It matches the Rfam family "Eukaryotic small subunit ribosomal RNA", at positions 1204 to 1661 of the family's 1831-position model. The record is from RNAcentral.